RNAcentral lists this small nuclear RNA (191 nucleotides) under Echeneis naucrates (live sharksucker). RNAcentral describes it as "U2 spliceosomal RNA (ENSENLG00000004257.1)". It matches the Rfam family "U2 spliceosomal RNA". Rfam says of the family: U2 is a small nuclear RNA (snRNA) component of the spliceosome (involved in pre-mRNA splicing). Lineage: Eukaryota; Metazoa; Chordata; Actinopteri; Carangiformes; Echeneidae. The record is from Rfam by way of RNAcentral.
AUCGCUUCUCGGCCUUUUGGCUAAGAUCAAGUGUAGUAUCUGUUCUUAUCAGUUUAAUAUCUGAUACGUCCCCUACCCGGGGACCAUAUAUUAAAUAGAUUUUUGGAACAGGGAGAUGGAAUAGGGGCUUGCUCCGUCCACUCCACGCAUCGACCUGGUAUUGCAGUAUCUCCAGGAACGGUGCACUCUCU